RNAcentral lists this ribosomal RNA (408 nucleotides) under Solobacterium moorei. Its description in RNAcentral is "bacterial SSU rRNA". It matches the Rfam family "Bacterial small subunit ribosomal RNA", at positions 28 to 432 of the family's 1533-position model. Lineage: Bacteria; Bacillati; Bacillota; Erysipelotrichia; Erysipelotrichales; Erysipelotrichaceae. The record is from RNAcentral.
GAUGAACGCGGCGGCGUGCCUAAUACAUGCAAGUCGAACGCUGGAGAUCUAGCUUGCUAGAUCGAAGGAGUGGCGAACGGGUGAGUAAUACAUAAGCAACCUACCCACGAAGACUGGGAUAAUCUCUGGAAACGGGGACUAAUACCGGAUAGGUAAUCGGAAGGCAUCUUCUGGUUAUUAAAGGUUAAAAACACUGGUGGAUGGGCUUAUGGCGCAUUAGUUAGUUGGUGAGGUAACGGCCCACCAAGACGAUGAUGCGUAGCCGGCCUGAGAGGGUGAACGGCCACAUUGGGACUGAGACACGGCCCAGACUCCUACGGGAGGCAGCAGUAGGGAAUUUUCGGCAAUGGGGGCAACCCUGACCGAGCAACGCCGCGUGAGUGAAGACGGCCUUCGGGUUGUAAAGCU